Molecule: ribosomal RNA, 446 nt
Filed under: uncultured bacterium
Lineage: Bacteria
Description: partial 16S ribosomal RNA
Rfam family: Bacterial small subunit ribosomal RNA
Source: RNAcentral
CCUACGGGUGGCAGCAGUCGAGAAUCAUUCACAAUGGGGGAAACCCUGAUGGUGCGACGCCGCGUGGGGGAAUGAAGGUCUUCGGAUUGUAAACCCCUGUCCUGUGGGAGCAAAUUAAAAAGAUAGUACCACAAGAGGAAGAGACGGCUAACUCUGUGCCAGCAGCCGCGGUAAUACAGAGGUCUCAAGCGUUGUUCGGAAUCACUGGGCGUAAGGCGUGCGUAGGCUGUUUCGUAAGUCGUGUGUGAAAGGCGCGGGCUCAACCCGCGGACGGCACAUGAUACUGCGAGACUAGAGUAAUGGAGGGGGAACCGGAAUUCUCGGUGUAGCAGUGAAAUGCGUAGAGAUCGAGAGGAACACUCGUGGCGAAGGCGGGUUCCUGGACAUUAACUGACGCUGAGGCACGAAGGCCAGGGGAGCAAAAGGGAUUAGAUACCCUGGUAGUC